RNAcentral lists this ribosomal RNA (433 nucleotides) under uncultured bacterium. RNAcentral's name for it is "partial 16S ribosomal RNA". It matches the Rfam family "Bacterial small subunit ribosomal RNA", at positions 29 to 507 of the family's 1533-position model. The record is from RNAcentral.
AACGAACGCUGGCGGCAUGCCUAACACAUGCAAGUCGAACGAAACCGUCGGGUCUAGUGGCGCACGGGUGCGUGACGCGGGGGAACCUGCCCGUAGGUUCGGAAUAACUGCCCGAGAGGGGUGCUAAUACAGGAUAAUGUCUUCGGAGAAAAGAGUUAUCGCGUUUGGAUGGGCCCUCGUUGGUUUCGCUAGUUGGUAGUGUAAAAGCCUAGCAAUGCGACGAUGCAUAGCUGGUCUGAUAGGAUGCCCAGCCACACUGGGGCUGCGGCACGGACCAGAAUGGUACGGAAGGGUGCAGUAUAGAGUAUUAGGGACUGGGCGAAAGCCUGGUACAGCAAUGCGGCGUAAGAGGGGCAGGCGUUAGGGUUGUAAAGCCCUUUUAGCCGGGACGUGAGUGACAGUACCGGGUGAAGAAGCACCGGCUAACUCCGUG